AUCUGGCCCUAAACCUCAACUCUCGUCAAUGUUGGUUUAUUGCCGUUAAAACAAUCCUCACUCUCAUGACGAAUUAUUUGAAAACGUAUUUAUUUAAAACUGGUGGUUGAAAACUAUUAAGCACGAAUUAACUACCGAACCCCUAUUAGCUACUAACUACACAUCCUAGCAACGCUAAAUUUAGCUAGACAUAACUAAAACUAAAGACAUAAAAUAAAAUAAAAAUAAAGACAUUAAAUAAAAACAGAAAAAUAAAAUAAAUAAAAUAAGCAUAAAAAUAAAGAAAAGAAAAUAAAAUAAAGAACCUGAAUUAAUAAAAGAAAUCUUGAAUACGGACACCGACAACACAACAACAGGAAAUAAAAAUAUUAAACUAAGAGAAGAAACCAAGAAUUAAAUCUAGUCUCAAUUCUCUUCCUCAACUGUUACAAGUUGUUGUGUGUAAAAAUAUAAGAAAAGACACAUGUAUAAUACUAGUAGCUAGGAGACCAAGACAAUUGAAAUAGGCGAUGUGGGACUUGUGGCAAUUGAAAUUCAUGCAUGCUGAAGAAGCUUGUGGCGGGCGCCACAUGGAUGUGUUUGGCGGUCAGCACACUUGUGUUGUUGUGCUAGUUGAAAUUUCAUGUAUAUUGUUGUACUGAAGCUUGUUAUUGCAUUAACUUAAAUUGGUUCACAUGUUGUAGUUGUGGCGAGCAGCAUGAAUGGUGUUUGUGAUGGGUCACGCUGGUGUGGUCCAUAUGGGCUGCACUUGUGUGGUCCUUUUUGUCCUUUUUUAAUCCAUUUUUGCUACAUUUCUCUUUGUUUUUAUCAAUGUGUCCUUUUUAGCAUGUUCGGUGUAAGUAACUGAAAAACAUAAAAAUACCAAAGUAAUACGAUGAAAAUGUAGAAAUAAAUAGUAAAAACAUAAGCUAAAUUAACUAAAUAUAUAGUACAUUUUCCGGUGUAUCAAACUCCCAUAAACUUGAACCAUUGCUUGUCCUCAAGCAAUUUAGCUUGCAUAUAGAAAACUUUUAAAAUGCGAAGCAACUCACACACACAGACUUAGAGAAAAAUAACAUCACAAGUACUCAUACGUGGUCAAAAUUUCAAAUCGGCUAAGAUUAAUUAGUUAGGUUCUUACACAAUCAAGAAGGGUAUUUUAAUGACACACAAAAUUCUCCCUCUUAUACAUACCGAAUUUGGAUCAUGCCGUUGUACUAAAAUCUAAAUCUUCUCCUUUUGUUUCAUCCUUUUUCAUUCUAGACAGUCACAUUAAGACCCUUUAUCUAUGUCACACACAUGGUAAGAAAGCCGGUUAGCGUCUUUAGUCAUCUUUUUCAACUCGCAAUUAUACAAAUUUUUGUAUUAGCAAUCAUAUAAAUAUAUUUUUUUUCCAAGGUUUAACCGUAUUACCACAGUAUGACCUUAUAUUAUUUUUUUCCUUUAAGGUUUAACUGUAUUACCACAGUAUGACCUUAAGAAUUUGCUUAGAUGAUUCGCUUAUAUUCAUCGACAAACCUACUUAAUGUGUGACUUUAUAAAUGGUGUCCGACUGGAUAGAUAAACUACUAAAGGAUUCCACAAAUUUAAAUCAGGAGAUUUUGGCACAAUGGUUAUUCAAAUUGAUAUCUAUACUAGGGAGACUUCUGGGUGUUGGAAAAAUACCGACUUUGUUGUGAAAUUCCCUAAUUUCCUUAACUUAGCCUCUCGUCUUCUCUUAACCUAUAUACUUUCUAAGUGAGCUAUUAUCCUAAGUCUUUGGAAAAAAAAAUUUAAUUUGGCUCAAGAAAAGGAAAAAUUUAGAAAACCAAAGAAGAUACUAUAAAUUCAAUUUUUUUAUUAUGCGAAAGGAAAUAAAAAUUCAAAUAACUAAAAAUUAAAAGUAAAUAAAGAUAGUAGAAUACUCCCCUAAACUUAAAUCCAACAGUGUCCUCACUGUUGCGACUCAAGAGCAGAAUUGGAGCGUAAAACCUGUGGUAGAUCAUGGGGGAGAUUGUUGAUAAUUUUGGAAAUUAUUGAACUGAAGCCUUAAACCGCCUAGCUCUUGUAUGACAUUGUCAAGCUGCUGUUGACGGUGCUCUUCUGAACUCUCUCAUUGGUUGUGAUAGCCCUGCAUUUGAUGUUGGCUUUGAAGAAUUUGUGCUUAUUGGGCU
Molecule: long non-coding RNA, 2132 nt
Filed under: Trifolium pratense (red clover)
Lineage: Eukaryota; Viridiplantae; Streptophyta; Magnoliopsida; Fabales; Fabaceae
Description: long non-coding RNA (TPRA_LNC013655)
Source: RNAcentral